Molecule: ribosomal RNA, 775 nt
Filed under: uncultured organism
Description: bacterial SSU rRNA
Rfam family: Bacterial small subunit ribosomal RNA
Source: RNAcentral
AACGCUAGCGGCGCGCUUAUGCAUGCAAGUCGAGCGAUGAGACUCCUACGGGAGCACAUCAGCGGCAGACGGGUGAGUAACACGUAGAUGACGUACCCUCAAGACGGGGAUAACGGAUGGAAACAUGCGCUAAUACCGGAUGACCUUACGAUGUCAGAAUGGUAAGGAAAGCUACGGCGCUUGAGGAGCGGUCUGCGGCCCAUCAGCUAGUUGGUAGGGUAAAGGCCUACCAAGGCGAAGACGGGUAGGGGGUGUGAGAGCACGGCCCCCCACAAUGGGACUGAGACACGGCCCAUACUCCUACGGGAGGCAGCAGCAGGGAAUAUUGCACAAUGGACGGAAGUCUGAUGCAGCGACGCCGCGUGAGUGAAGAAGGCCUUCGGGUUGUAAAACUCUUUUGAGGGGGAAGAGCGAGGACGGUACCCCUGGAAUAAGCGUCGGCUAACUACGUGCCAGCAGCCGCGGUAAGACGUAGGACGCGAGCGUUAUCCGGAUUUACUGGGCGUAAAGCGUCUGUAGGCGGAUGUGUAAGUUGGGCGUGAAAGCUCCGGGCUUAACCCGGAGAGGCCGUUCAAUACUGCAUAACUUGAGGGUGUCAGAGGGGAGCGGAAUUCCCGGUGUAGCGGUAAAAUGCGCAGAGAUCGGGAGGAACACCAGUGGCGGAGGCGGUUCCCUGGGGCACACCUGACGCUGAGAGACGAAAGCUAGGGGAGCGAACAGGAUUAGAGACCCUGGUAGUCCUAGCCCUAAACGAUGAAUGCUAGGUGUGGGAUCG